This 1710-nucleotide ribosomal RNA is filed under the name Escherichia coli. Its description in RNAcentral is "partial 23S ribosomal RNA". It matches the Rfam family "Bacterial large subunit ribosomal RNA", at positions 1252 to 2925 of the family's 2925-position model. Lineage: Bacteria; Pseudomonadati; Pseudomonadota; Gammaproteobacteria; Enterobacterales; Enterobacteriaceae. The record is from RNAcentral.
GAAGGUGUACUGUGAGGUAUGCUGGAGGUAUCAGAAGUGCGAAUGCUGACAUAAGUAACGAUAAAGCGGGUGAAAAGCCCGCUCGCCGGAAGACCAAGGGUUCCUGUCCAACGUUAAUCGGGGCAGGGUGAGUCGACCCCUAAGGCGAGGCCGAAAGGCGUAGUCGAUGGGAAACAGGUUAAUAUUCCUGUACUUGGUGUUACUGCGAAGGGGGGACGGAGAAGGCUAUGUUGGCCGGGCGACGGUUGUCCCGGUUUAAGCGUGUAGGCUGGUUUUCCAGGCAAAUCCGGAAAAUCAAGGCUGAGGCGUGAUGACGAGGCACUACGGUGCUGAAGCAACAAAUGCCCUGCUUCCAGGAAAAGCCUCUAAGCAUCAGGUAACAUCAAAUCGUACCCCAAACCGACACAGGUGGUCAGGUAGAGAAUACCAAGGCGCUUGAGAGAACUCGGGUGAAGGAACUAGGCAAAAUGGUGCCGUAACUUCGGGAGAAGGCACGCUGAUAUGUAGGUGAAGCGACUUGCUCGUGGAGCUGAAAUCAGUCGAAGAUACCAGCUGGCUGCAACUGUUUAUUAAAAACACAGCACUGUGCAAACACGAAAGUGGACGUAUACGGUGUGACGCCUGCCCGGUGCCGGAAGGUUAAUUGAUGGGGUCAGCGCAAGCGAAGCUCUUGAUCGAAGCCCCGGUAAACGGCGGCCGUAACUAUAACGGUCCUAAGGUAGCGAAAUUCCUUGUCGGGUAAGUUCCGACCUGCACGAAUGGCGUAAUGAUGGCCAGGCUGUCUCCACCCGAGACUCAGUGAAAUUGAACUCGCUGUGAAGAUGCAGUGUACCCGCGGCAAGACGGAAAGACCCCGUGAACCUUUACUAUAGCUUGACACUGAACAUUGAGCCUUGAUGUGUAGGAUAGGUGGGAGGCUUUGAAGUGUGGACGCCAGUCUGCAUGGAGCCGACCUUGAAAUACCACCCUUUAAUGUUUGAUGUUCUAACGUUGACCCGUAAUCCGGGUUGCGGACAGUGUCUGGUGGGUAGUUUGACUGGGGCGGUCUCCUCCUAAAGAGUAACGGAGGAGCACGAAGGUUGGCUAAUCCUGGUCGGACAUCAGGAGGUUAGUGCAAUGGCAUAAGCCAGCUUGACUGCGAGCGUGACGGCGCGAGCAGGUGCGAAAGCAGGUCAUAGUGAUCCGGUGGUUCUGAAUGGAAGGGCCAUCGCUCAACGGAUAAAAGGUACUCCGGGGAUAACAGGCUGAUACCGCCCAAGAGUUCAUAUCGACGGCGGUGUUUGGCACCUCGAUGUCGGCUCAUCACAUCCUGGGGCUGAAGUAGGUCCCAAGGGUAUGGCUGUUCGCCAUUUAAAGUGGUACGCGAGCUGGGUUUAGAACGUCGUGAGACAGUUCGGUCCCUAUCUGCCGUGGGCGCUGGAGAACUGAGGGGGGCUGCUCCUAGUACGAGAGGACCGGAGUGGACGCAUCACUGGUGUUCGGGUUGUCAUGCCAAUGGCACUGCCCGGUAGCUAAAUGCGGAAGAGAUAAGUGCUGAAAGCAUCUAAGCACGAAACUUGCCCCGAGAUGAGUUCUCCCUGACCCUUUAAGGGUCCUGAAGGAACGUUGAAGACGACGACGUUGAUAGGCCGGGUGUGUAAGCGCAGCGAUGCGUUGAGCUAACCGGUACUAAUGAACCGUGAGGCUUAACCUUACAACGCCGAAGCUGUU